AGUGAACGCUGGCGGUAGGCCUAACACAUGCAAGUCGAACGGCAGCACAGUAAGAGCUUGCUCUUACGGGUGGCGAGUGGCGGACGGGUGAGGAAUACAUCGGAAUCUACUUUUUCGGGGGGGAUAACGUAGGGAAACUUACGCUAAUACCGCAUACGACCUACGGGUGAAAGCAGGGGAUCUUCGGACCUUGCGCGAUUGAAUGAGCCGAUGUCGGAUUAGCUAGUUGGCGGGGUAAAGGCCCACCAAGGCGACGAUCCGUAGCUGGUCUGAGAGGAUGAUCGGCCACACUGGAACUUAGACACGGUCCAGGCUCCUACGGGAGGCAGCAGUGGGGAAUAUUAGACAAUGGGCGCAAGCCUGGUCCAGCCAUCCCGCGUGGGUGAAGAAGGCCUUCGGGUUGUAAAGCCCUUUUGUUGGGAAAGAAAAGCAGCAGGUUAAUACCCCGCUGUUCUGACGGUACCCAAAGAAUAAGCACCGGCUAACUUCGUG
Molecule: ribosomal RNA, 492 nt
Filed under: uncultured bacterium
Lineage: Bacteria
Description: partial 16S ribosomal RNA
Rfam family: Bacterial small subunit ribosomal RNA
Source: RNAcentral